RNAcentral lists this ribosomal RNA (492 nucleotides) under uncultured bacterium. RNAcentral describes it as "partial 16S ribosomal RNA". It matches the Rfam family "Bacterial small subunit ribosomal RNA", at positions 29 to 507 of the family's 1533-position model. The record is from RNAcentral.
AGUGAACGCUGGCGGUAGGCCUAACACAUGCAAGUCGAACGGCAGCACAGUAAGAGCUUGCUCUUACGGGUGGCGAGUGGCGGACGGGUGAGGAAUACAUCGGAAUCUACUUUUUCGUGGGGGAUAACGUAGGGAAACUUACGCUAAUACCGCAUACGACCUACGGGUGAAAGCAGGGGAUCUUCGGACCUUGCGCGAUUGAAUGAGCCGAUGUCGGAUUAGCUAGUUGGCGGGGUAAAGGCCCACCCAGGCGACGAUCGGUAGCUGGUCUGAGAGGGUGGUCGGCCACAUUGGAACUGAGACACGGUCCAGACUCCUACGGGAGGCAGCAGUGGGGAAUAUUGGACAAUGGGCGCAAGCCUGAUCCAGCCAUACCGCGUGUGUGAAGAAGGCCUUCGGGUUGUAAAGCCCUUUUGUUGGGAAAGAAAAGCAGCAGGUUAAUACCCCGCUGUUCUGACGGUACCCAAAGAAUAAGCACCGGCUAACUUCGUG